Molecule: ribosomal RNA, 782 nt
Filed under: uncultured bacterium
Lineage: Bacteria
Description: bacterial SSU rRNA
Rfam family: Bacterial small subunit ribosomal RNA
Source: RNAcentral
GAGCUUGCUCUUGAUUAUUUUAGCGGCGGACGGGUGAGUAACGUGUGGGCAACCUGCCUUUUACUGGGGAAUAAUCACUGGAAACGGUGGCUAAUACCGCAUACGGUUCUUGGAAGGCAUCUUCUAGGAAAGAAAGGAUUUAUUCGGUAAAAGAUGGGCCCGCAUCUGAUUAGCUAGUUGGUGAGAUAAUAGCCCACCAAGGCAACGAUCAGUAGCCGACCUGAGAGGGUGACCGGCCACAUUGGGACUGAGACACGGCCCAAACUCCUACGGGAGGCAGCAGUGGGGAAUAUUGCACAAUGGGGGAAACCCUGAUGCAGCAACGCCGCGUGAAGGAAGACGGUUUUCGGAUUGUAAACUUCUAUCAAUAGGGAAGAAAGAAAUGACGGUACCUAAAUAAGAAGCCCCGGCUAACUACGUGCCAGCAGCCGCGGUAAUACGUAGGGGGCAAGCGUUAUCCGGAAUUACUGGGUGUAAAGGGAGAGUAGGCGGCAAGGUAAGCGAUAUGUGAAAGCCUUAGGCUUAACCUGAGGAUAGCAUAACGAACUAUCUAGCUAGAGUACAGGAGAGGAAAGCGGAAUUCUUAGUGUAGCGGUGAAAUGCGUAGAUAUUAGGAAGAACACCAGUGGCGAAGGCGGCUUUCUGGACUGAAACUGACGCUGAGGCUCGAAAGCGUGGGGAGCGAACAGGAUUAGAUACCCUGGUAGUCCACGCUGUAAACGAUGAGUGCUAGGUGUCGGGGAGGAAUCCUCGGUGCCGGAGCAAACGCAAUAAGCACUCCA